This 492-nucleotide ribosomal RNA is filed under the name uncultured bacterium. RNAcentral describes it as "partial 16S ribosomal RNA". It matches the Rfam family "Bacterial small subunit ribosomal RNA", at positions 29 to 507 of the family's 1533-position model. The record is from RNAcentral.
AGUGAACGCUGGCGGUAGGCCUAACACAUGCAAGUCGAACGGCAGCACAGUAAGAGCUUGCUCUUACGGGUGGCGAGUGGCGGACGGGUGAGGAAUACAUCGGAAUCUACUUUUUCGUGGGGGAUAACGUAGGGAAACUUACGCUAAUACCGCAUACGACCUACGGGUGAAAGCAGGGGAUCUUCGGACCUUGCGCGAUUGAAUGAGCCGAUGUCGGAUUAGCUAGUUGGCGGGGUAAAGGCCCACCAAGGCGACGAUCCGUAGCUGGUCUGAGAGGAUGAUCAGCCACACUGGAACUGAGACACGGUCCAGACUCCUACGGGAGGCAGCAGUGGGGAAUAUUGGACAAUGGGCGCAAGCCUGAUCCAGCCAUACCGCGUGGGUGAAGAAGGCCUUCGGGUUGUAAAGCCCCUUUGUUGGGAAAGAAAAGCAGCAGGUUAAUACCCCGCUGUUCUGACGGUACCAAAAGAAUAAGCACCGGCUAACUUCGUG